This is a long non-coding RNA of Hippocampus comes (tiger tail seahorse), 289 nucleotides long. RefSeq lists it as uncharacterized. The record is from RefSeq and is a predicted model, not a curated record. The transcript has 2 exons. Lineage: Eukaryota; Metazoa; Chordata; Actinopteri; Syngnathiformes; Syngnathidae.
UGAUCUAAAUUAACGAAUGUUUUUUUUUUUUAUAGGAAGUAUGCCAGUUCCUAAAUUCCCAGCUUGAUCCCACCAAUGUCGACUCAGUCUUCUUUGCUGCGGAGACCAGCCAAGUCAUAUCUGGAUGUGAGAUUCAUGUGACCAAUGAAACCCGAGACAUCCUUCUGGCUGCUGUCAGUGAAGACUCCACCAUGUCUCAGAUUCACCGGGCUGUGAGCGCACUUAGCUCUUUGGGGCUUCCUCUGACCUCUCAGGAGGUCGUCGGCGCGCUCACAGCUCGCAUCAACAA